CCGACCUUAGCUCAGUUGGUAGAGCGGAGGACUGUAGUAUUGUUACUGAAAUCCUUAGGUCGCUGGUUCGAAUCCGGCAGGUCGGA
RNAcentral lists this transfer RNA (86 nucleotides) under Nicotiana sylvestris (wood tobacco). It matches the Rfam family "tRNA". Rfam says of the family: Transfer RNA (tRNA) molecules are approximately 80 nucleotides in length. Lineage: Eukaryota; Viridiplantae; Streptophyta; Magnoliopsida; Solanales; Solanaceae. RNAcentral also lists the same sequence under 1 other name. The record is from Rfam by way of RNAcentral.